This 212-nucleotide unclassified non-coding RNA is filed under the name uncultured Inocybaceae. RNAcentral describes it as "sequence contains ITS1". The record is from RNAcentral. Lineage: Eukaryota; Fungi; Basidiomycota; Agaricomycetes; Agaricales.
CUGAAGUCGCUGAGGGGUUCGUUGCUGGCUCUAUGGAGCAUUCGUGCACGCUUGUUGUUUCUCAUUUUUACAUCCAUUGUGCAUCAUUUGUAGAAUCUGGUUUAGGACUGCUUAGCUUUAGCAUUUUGCAGGCUUUCCUUAUCAUUUCAGAUCCUAUGUCUUUGUCCAUAUACUCCAAUGUGUUAAUAAGGUGUUAUAUAUAUAUUAUAUCA